RNAcentral lists this ribosomal RNA (491 nucleotides) under uncultured bacterium. RNAcentral's name for it is "partial 16S ribosomal RNA". It matches the Rfam family "Bacterial small subunit ribosomal RNA", at positions 29 to 507 of the family's 1533-position model. The record is from RNAcentral.
AGUGAACGCUGGCGGUAGGCCUAACACAUGCAAGUCGAACGGCAGCACAGUAAGAGCUUGCUCUUACGGGUGGCGAGUGGCGGACGGGUGAGGAAUACAUCGGAAUCUACUUUUUCGUGGGGGAUAACGUAGGGAAACUUACGCUAAUACCGCAUACGACCUACGGGUGAAGCCAGGGAUCCUCGGACCUUUGCCGGAUGAAUGAGCCGAUGUCGGAUUAGCUAGUUGGCGGGGUAAAGGCCCACCAAGGCGACGAUCCGUAGCUGGUCUGAGAGGAUGAUCAGCCACACUGGAACUGAGACACGGUCCAGACUCCUACGGGAGGCAGCAGUGGGGAAUAUUGGACAAUGGGCGCAAGCCUGAUCCAGCCAUACCGCGUGGGUGAAGAAGGCCUUCGGGUUGUAAAGCCCUUUUGUUGGGAAAGAAAAGCAGCAGGUUAAUACCCCGCUGUUCUGACGGUACCCAAAGAAUAAGCACCGGCUAACUUCGUG